AAAGAAUUAGUUUAAAAAAAACUCUAAAUUGUCAAUUUAAUGAUAUUUUAAUCUAAUUAAAUAUUCUUUU
RNAcentral lists this transfer RNA (70 nucleotides) under Camponotus vicinus. RNAcentral describes it as "tRNA-Asx". The record is from RNAcentral. Lineage: Eukaryota; Metazoa; Arthropoda; Insecta; Hymenoptera; Formicidae.